GCGCUCAUAGCUCAGCUGGAUAGAGCACUUGGCUACGAACUAAGGGGUCGGGAGUUCGAAUCUCUCUGAGCGUACCA
Molecule: transfer RNA, 77 nt
Filed under: Acinetobacter baumannii
Lineage: Bacteria; Pseudomonadati; Pseudomonadota; Gammaproteobacteria; Moraxellales; Moraxellaceae
Description: tRNA-Arg
Rfam family: tRNA
About the family: Transfer RNA (tRNA) molecules are approximately 80 nucleotides in length.
Source: RNAcentral